GGUCGUGGCUCAGAGGAAGAGCGCUCGCCUCGCACGCGUGAGGCACUGGGUUCGAUCCUCAGCACCA
This 67-nucleotide transfer RNA is filed under the name Marmota monax (woodchuck). RNAcentral describes it as "tRNA.Ala". It matches the Rfam family "tRNA". From Rfam's summary of the family: Transfer RNA (tRNA) molecules are approximately 80 nucleotides in length. Their secondary structure includes four short double-helical elements and three loops (D, anti-codon, and T loops). Lineage: Eukaryota; Metazoa; Chordata; Mammalia; Rodentia; Sciuridae. The record is from RNAcentral.